Passer domesticus (house sparrow) is the source of this 2584-nucleotide long non-coding RNA. RefSeq lists it as uncharacterized. Lineage: Eukaryota; Metazoa; Chordata; Aves; Passeriformes; Passeridae. The record is from RefSeq and is a predicted model, not a curated record. The transcript has 3 exons.
AGAGUUGUGGUGGUACAGACCCAGACGUGACAUUUUUUGUGGCCACCAAGGCAGCAGUCCCAGCAAAGAUUACCUGGACUUUCUAAGGCUCACGACCCUGAUUCUCUGGCUGUGACAUUUGGUGGCACUGAGAAGAGCUGAUAUAUGGACAUGCAAACACAGUCCUGAUUGCUGGAGAUUGCCCUGCAUUAAUAAUGCCCUGCAUUAUCUCAGGCUUUUUGCAGCUCAGCUGGACCCAGGAGGACCCCAUGUGCCUGCUUUGGAAGCUGCCAUGGGAUGAAGGAUCACAGGAUAAUGCAAUUAAACGGGAUGGAGGGUUUUGCUGAGAGACCUGACAUGCAGCAAUGACACGGCGCAGGAAAGAACAAAACUCCAGUUUCAGGCUGUGGGAGUAGAACCAGAAGCCAAAUUAAAGCAGGAUGGUGGGACUGUUUUCCCCAGUUACCCGCGGCGUGCAGCGCUCUCACAUUUGUUAAUCACAACGCGCAAUUACAGGGGAAAAGCUGCGGGUGUCUCACUUGAACCAGGGAAACGCUUCGGGGCCAGCAGGGCUUCCACACCGAGAGGUUUCAGGCUGAAGUGGAAAGAGGGAACUCUUUUCGUGGGGCAGCAGCAGCUGUUUCAAAGCUCUCAUUGGCCUGAGCUGGGUGACAAAGGGUGGGCAGCACCAGGGGUACCCGGGCUGUGGGACAGAGGAACUCCCAGUGAAACCAGCGGGGCUCUGCUGUUCUCUUUCCCUGUCCCUUGGCAGGUAAGGCAGCUCUGCAGGGCAGAUUGCUCUGUCUCUACACCCCUGAAGCACUUAGAGCCUGAGGCAGUGACCUGCUCUGGAGACUCCCAGACAAAACCCAGAUCCUGCUUGUCUGCAGGGACUUACUGAUCCAGGUUUGCCUGGAACAUAUCCCCAAACAACCGUGUCUCAGGGACUAUCUGAAAAAUUUUGGAAGAAUGACUGGUAAAAAUAAUAAUAAUUUUUUUUCCCUGCCAAGUGGGACAAGGAAAGCCUUUUCAGGGAAAAUUCCUUUCCAGGAAAUAUUUUUGAUGCUUUUAAAAUUUUUCCUCGGGUACUCCUAGCAAGGCCACAUUGCAUUUUCAUGUGAAGGUACCAUUAUGUAAACCACAGCACUCAAACCAUCAGGGUUGCAGCAGGGGUGGCUCACAGCUCCAUUACUUUGUGAGCACUGUGACAUCUCUACAUGCAAAUUGUUACUGCCAGCCUCAUAUUUGAAUUUGUGUGGCUCAUGCAGAGCUGUGGACACAGACCCUGACCCGUGGGGCUGGUGAGGGUGCAGCUGCAAUGGCCACUCACACAGAGAGUUCUGCUCUCUGCCUGAGAAUUGUUUUACCCUCAAAUUAAAGAAUGUCAGAGCAGGUGAAAAAAGGAGUGUAGCAGCUUUGCAGCGGGACAGUGAAGGGCUGGGUGGAAAUGUUUCCUGUCCCCCUCCUGACCUGCUGGUCCUGCAGCCAGGGGGGUGCUGCUGCUGAGGGUCCUGCCCUGCUGCCAUCUGCCAGAGAGCCUAAAGCACGAACUGAAUCCAGCUGAUGGUCUCCUGCAUCACAUCCAAAGCUCUUUAGCUCACAGUCAGGGCUCUGAAUACGUGCAUGCAAGUGUUUGUGGAUACCCUGGACUGAUAAGGAUCUCUGGCUCAUCCAGGGCACCCACAAAUAUUUGCAUGAAUGUAUUCAGAGUGGGCAAACAUUUAUGAAUACCUCGAAUAAGUGAGAAGCCUUGGAGGAUGAAGGGAUUGCAAAUCCCCUCUGUAUUCCUUCCACAAGCACCAGUGAGCAGAGUAAUUACUCCACAGCGUGUGAUGGAGAAGAGGCAGUUCAUCCCCCCGUGUCAAAGCUCUGCAAGCAAACUGCCCCCAGUGGGGCAGUGAGUGGAGCUGUCCCCUGUCACUGGGGACACAAAGGAGCCCUGUGCUGCCACAGCUCAUGGUGUGCCAACUGUUGCAGCUACAUACAUUGAUCUGCUUCCAGCAGAUGACACCACCAAGGUGUCUCCCAAUCCAAAAAGUGGAGCUGCCCCCCUGGCUGCCCUUCCCCUGCCAUGUGUGGGCUGAAAGCUGUUCAGGGCAGCUGUGGCUUCUUGCUGGGAACAUUUGCUCAGCUUUGGCUGAAAGGAAUCCUGCUGUUUCCAGGAGCUCUUGCCAAACUUGCUGGUCCCGGGCUGUCUGAAGGCAGAGCAUCCCUCUCCUGACACAAACAGUGAGGAAAUUUGGGUCUCCUCAGAUCUCCAGGGCUGCAGCCCAUCUCCAGCCACACUGAGGAAGCCAAGAGGCACAGGAUUUAUUGGGAGGGAUUUUUUAUUGCAGUUUCCCACACUGUCUUUCUUAAACUGUUUGUUCAUUGUGUUGACUUAAUUGACCUUUCACCUUGCUGAGCUGAAGCCCUGAACGUUUUCGUGUCAGGGAUGCCUGUCAGUCACAAGGGCAGUGAUCUGCCUGCUCCAAAUAGGCCGAGUGACGGCUCCUGCGUGGCUGCUGAUCUCCUCUAAUUGCUGCCACGUCAGCAGCCACAUCAGGCUGCCUGAGAUGACGGUGGGACACUCUGUAAUCCCUGCAAAUUCCCCUCUCACCCGAGC